RNAcentral lists this ribosomal RNA (253 nucleotides) under uncultured bacterium. Its description in RNAcentral is "partial 16S ribosomal RNA". It matches the Rfam family "Bacterial small subunit ribosomal RNA", at positions 524 to 776 of the family's 1533-position model. The record is from RNAcentral.
CACGGGGGGAGCAAGCGUUGUUCGGAAUCACUGGGCGUAAAGGGCGUGUAGGCGGUCAAGUAAGUGGAAUGUGAAAUCCCUCGGCUUACCCGAGGACCUGCAUCCCAAACUGCUUGGCUUGAGUACGGGAGAGGAUGAGGGAAUUCCUGGUGUAGCGGUGAAAUGCGCAGAUAUCAGGAGGAACACCAAUUGCGAAGGCAGCUCGCUGGGACGUUACCGACGCUGAGACGCGAAAGCGUGGGGAGCAAACAGG